AUGAACAAUAGAGGUCAGAUUGAGUGUUUUUAUGAAGUGCAGGUGGAGAGGCAAGCAAUGCAUGGACCAGAGAGGCCGCAGAGGGCGGGAUGCAACAGAUGGACACACUCCGCAGGGGUUCUGCUGGACACCAUACAUGAGACUGAGCAGCAUAAUGACUUCCACUCUGCGGUCUGGAUAAUCCUCACAGAAACAGAUCAUAAUCCAGAUCCUUCAUCAUUAUUCCUUACGAUAAUGAAGACAUCUGUCUGCUUUGUGUGGAGCAGAGUGGCGACAAACAUGCUCGCGUUUCACAUGCCGCCUUCUGCCGCCGCUCCACUGCCAGACAGCAAUAUGGGGUAGCAUUUGGGCACUGAGCCCUGAAGACUUGAAUCCGCCUGGCUCUCUAAUGCCAGCAGUGCCCUCCAGUGCCUCCUUGUGCACAGCCUGCAGGAAAGGUGAACCGCCUGAGUGGGCAAGAUCACCUCAUAAGUGGUGAGAAAUUGGUUCAUGCUAACUCUUCCUUAGAGGUGUUAAACAACAGAUUUCAUCACUUAUGGCAACGCAUUGUUUACUCAGCUUUGUUUGCUUUCUUUUAUGGAGGAUUUCAAUUAAUUGCAUGGGUUUAGAGAAAGGAAAUCUGUCUCAUUUAACUUCCUACAAAAAUGUGAUCACAGUUUCCUGACGUAUUUUCAGCAUUGGCCAUGAAAUGAUAUAGAUGGGGCAGUGGAAUUCAAAAAAGCAAGGUCUAAAGACAAGGGUAUUUAAAGUUGAACUUCUUUUACUUCUUUAUGCUUUUAGAGCACACUGUCAUGCAUAAGAUGCUGCAAAUGGCACUAGACAAGAGUGCAGAGAUCAGAUGUAUUAUCAUCUAACGUGUGUUAUACAGAGAAAAACUUUGGAAAGGCAGUACAGUGUAAUGCAAAAAUGUGUUCCUUCGCCAGUCAGUGGAAAAGAAAAAACUGCAAGUUUCGGGAAACAUUUUUUAAAAAAAGUUGACUGCAGAUGGACUACUCAGAAGGGAUUAUUUUAGAGAGCUUUGUAAUAGUAAUUAUAUAUUUCUAAUCUAUUUGUAGUUCCAGAUGAUGCCCAAACUGUUUACUGCUAAAGGCCAAAAAUCAAACUAGAUUGAGUGGCUUUGGGCUGAAAAUAAAUGUGCCAUAACAUCCA
Cyprinus carpio (common carp) is the source of this 1149-nucleotide long non-coding RNA. The record is from Ensembl. NCBI's taxonomy places the organism in Eukaryota, Metazoa, Chordata, Actinopteri, Cypriniformes, Cyprinidae.